CCUCCACUUCUCACCCUCCAGAUCUCUUCCCCGGCGUUACUACAGGCAUCCUCGGCGGUUUUCUUCUUCAAAUUUCGGAUCUUGUCGUCUUUUUGGUCUAUGAUCAAACGUUUCUCUUUGCUAAAGGUUGAAACUUUACGAGGUAUCGCAGUGAUGAACUGAUUAUCUCGUGUACUUGAGGCGGUCUCAUUUUCGGGAUUUGUCGGUGACGGUCGCACAACCCUCUAAGAAGUUCUGAGCUCAUGCCCUCUUUUUCGUUCUCUUCAAAUUCUCGUGGUUUUGCUCCUCUUGCUUCUGUCUGCGGACAUAUCGAUUUCGAAUAUGGUUGUAUGUUUGUCUUUCUGUCUGUCUGGUCGUCCCCGUUUGUUUGUUUGUUUGUUUUUUUGUGUGUGGCUGCAUCGAUUUUGUGUGGUUGUUUCGAAUUGGGAGCUGAGCUGAAGCGAGGUGACGAUAGAAAUUCAUGUCUGUCAAUCCACUGACUUCAAACAGCGUGAUGUUAUCGCGAAUCCCGACAGGUUCUGAUCGCUACUAGCUCCUCUUUCGCUUCCACUAAUUUGUUCAGAACUUUUUUUUGUGUUUGCAUUGAUGCUUAAAGAACCAAGCUUUUCAAACACCUGCGAAAGCAGGUGGGUUUUACUGUGAUUGCUCGAUCAUUCUGUAGUUGGGCAGGUGAUGAAUCUCAUAUCAACUAAUGGGUAAUUUGCGUCUGAACUUAUUUUGAUGCUAUAUCACCUUGGAGAACUGAUGCCCGAUCUAGUGUUUUACUCCUUUUUGGACUAGUUAAGUUGUUUUGGAUGUGAAGAAAGAACAUUUGUUGUCUUUAAACCACUGAUUCUUGAUUGCUUUUGUGGGACUUUGUCCUUUACUAGCCUUUCCCUUCUGUGUUUUUGGUAUGGUUUUAUCAGAAUUUGAUGGUCUGGCCAUGUUAUUGAAGUUCUUAAUGUAACUAUUAUUCAUGGCAUGUAUUGAAAAAAAAAACUAUUGCUUGUGUAAUGACUUAAUGGUAUAUGCAGAUUUAGAUUUCUCCAAUAUGCCUCUUCGGUGAAAUUAUUUCAUGCACUAGUAUCAUGCACUAGAAAUGACGAUUCUGUAGUUGGGCAGGUGAUGAAUCUCAUAUCAACUAAUGGGUAAUUUGCGUCUGAACUUAUUUUGAUGCUAUAUAUCACCUUGGAGAACUGAUGCCCUAACUAGUGUUUUACUCCUUUUUGGACUAGUAAGUUGUUUUGGACAUGAAGUGAGAACAUUUGUUGCUCUAUUGUUAUUACUGAGUUGCUAGAUUUUGGAACUCAUGUGAAUGAUUCAAUUCAUGGUAAGUCUAGGGAAGAUUUUGAUGCACUUUGGCUUGUUACUCUGCUGGCACAACAUGUUGACACACUUUCUCUAGCCAUAAAGGUUUCGAUAGGGUAAAAAGUUAGGUGGUCUUGGGAUUACCUAUUUCUAAAAGAACUUGCUAUUAUGGCUUUGUCAUGUCAUUAUGGAUGACACUCAGCCAUAAACUAAUUGCAAGUGUAUUGAGUGUUAGGUAGUCUUGGGAUUACCUAUCUUUUCUCCCUUUUGUAAACCUUCAUUAAUCUUGAACACAUGCAAUUGCAAAAAUCUGAAAUGAAUAUGUUCUUUGUGGAUCGGACCAGUCAUUGCCUAUGGUGGACUUUAUCUAAACUCAUCAUAAAUUAAUGACUGAUGUGUUCGGAUCACAAAUAUUAAAUUUAUACAAGAUUUUCAUAAAAUUGGGAUUGUUGGUUUCUAGUGCGGUGUGGGCAAUACUAUUUGAAGGAUGUUUUUAGAAAGUUCAACCUAAAUAGUAGUAUAGUGGUAUUAAUAAUCGAAUCGUAUAAGGUGUGGCUUUAUUGUCGAUAGCAUGGCAUCAUGUCAAUAAGAUAUUGAUCCUGCAUUUACCUAAUACAUUCUCAAACUUGUAUUUGGGAAAGGAGUGGAUCAAGUCUGGAAAAUGGAAGUCGUGGAAAUUUCAAAAGAAUUUAUAUUGUCUGAGAAAAUGUGGGGUGAAAAUUUGAGAAAUAUUUGAGCUUUUCCUCCUCUUUGCAAAAAUAUAUGAAUCUUUCCCAAUUUUCUACACUCAUUUUCCCUCCUUCCUUUUUCCAAAUUCAAGCCUAAAGCUUGAAGCUGAAUUUCUUUUUGGAAAAGGGCAAUUAAAAUGAGACUGUCCAUAUAGCUCUAAGGUGGGGGGAAAGCUUAUUUGACACAUUAUACUAAAUAAUGGUUGGAUUUGAAGAGAACAUUUGUAUUCCAAACGUUUAUUAUUGUCAGAAAAUAGUGAUAAUCAUAGCUGUGUUAAUAGUUGCAUUGACGAGAUGAACACUCAACAACAAUUGUAACUAUUGUACUCAUGCCGUUCAUUGGCGUGGCUUACACGUGCAAUCACGUGUGUUCCAUGUCCAUGGACGGUGUGGAUGCGGCAGUUGCGGUUUACAUCAAUAAUGUAGGCUGGCUAAAUAUCCUACUUUUCUGGUAAUGCAAGUUACGAGUUUUGAUGAGAGGGGUUUGAUGAGAGGGUUUUAAGUGUGAUAGUGGGACAGAUGUAUGGUGCUGCGGAUUGUUGCUCUAUUCAUGCAAUGUAUUCACUAAUUUGUCUAUAUUUUGUAUGGCCAUUUUUGAAUGAGGUUGAUGGUAUUCUCAGUUUACACAACGAGAGUUUUGAGGUUGUGCUACUGAAUAAAAAGAUAUUAUGAGCUGCUGCAAAUAUGAUUGGAUCUGCUGCAUGGCCCUUCCCGUUGGAUCUUGUUAUUUACACUAUCUUAUGCUCCCGAUUUUCGAAAAACAACUUUAUUUGUGCUCAUGCCACUUCCUAUUUUCAAAGUAUUUACUUUACGAAACAAUAGAGUGGUUUUCCAUCUAUUUGAUUAUCAUGAACUCAUCAAGUAGCUGUACAGGUGAUGAAUCUUUUUUUAGCUAGUGGGUAAUGUCUGUCCACCUUGGAGACUUGAUGCCCUUCUGAACAUUCCAUUUUUCUUUACUUAGUUCAUUGGUGGUUGAUGUGUAGCAAGUGGUUUUUGUCUAUAAGCAAUUGAAUCUCGUGUGCAUCAUCUCAUUUACUUCUAUGCUUUCAUGUUUUGAAUCUGCUAGCAUUUUACCUGUUAUGCUUUCCAAAGUCUUUCAUGUAGUAGCAUUAUUUGUAUAAUAAUGCCAAGAAAUGUUGUAUUAGGUGUUGAUCAAGAUUGUAAUUUCCCCCUUGGGCUUAGUCCAUUGUAUGUACUCGCUCCCUUUAUUGCCUUUACAGCUCCGGUGAGGAAUUUUAGCAGUAACUAAGAAUGUUUUAUUAUCUUGACCCUUGGUUUUGAAGUAGUCUUUGGGCAGAACUUGCUUCUCAAACGUUGAAUAAAAAUUUGGGUGGACAAUGCAGAAAUUUUUUUAAAUUUUCCCACCUCUGUCUAAUAAUAAAAUUCUAAAAUUGUUGGACAGGAAGAGGAGGGAAACUUAAAAUUGAUAGUCAUUUUGAAACCAAACUUUCGUUAUCUCUUUUUAUUUACCAAGCACAACAAUAGUUGCAUAAAGGUUUGAUUGUGGAAAAAAAGUUGGUUCUGGGAUUAUCAAUCUUUACUAGCACUUGCCAAUGAAAUUAUGUCAUGUUUUUUGAAAAACCAUAAUUGCCAUGUGAAUAUUUGGUGAUGAUGGUCAGAUAAUCUUGCAUGACUUUUGGCUUUUAGCUGGUGGAGAUAAAGAUAAAUAGUUCAAGGAUUGUCUAUCCUCUUCUCCUUCAUGUAAACCUUUAAGAAUUUUGUUAAAAAUAAAAAAUUGCAAAGAUUUGGGUCAACCUAGUUUGACCGGAACCGACUUGGCUUGAUAGGUUCAGUCGGACAAAGCUCGGCCCAAUUCGAUCAUGAAUCGUGCUUUUCUCUCUAUAGUUGAAAAUUCCCAUGCCACAUGGCGACUCCUUGUUGGCCCAAAUCCUCACCAUUGUGAGCUUGCCACACGUUUUCCCCACGCAAAAACCCUAGAUGAAACCUAGGUUAUUCUACUCUUGGAGAGCCCUCCUUUCUUGAAGAAAGUAAAGAGUCCCCUUUCGUGCCACCUCUUUUAUUACCAAAAAGUAGAAUAACUGAAGUUUUUAUCUGGGUUUUUGUAUGAUGGUGAGAAGUGGAGAGCUCACAAUAGUAAGGAUUUAACAUUUAAGCCAAUGAUGAGGCAGGGUCGGAUUGGGCCGAGCUUUAUCCUGUCGGGCCUAUUGGGCUGGGUCGGUUUUGGUCAAAUUGGGUUGACCCGAGCUUUUGCAAUUUUUCUUAUUUAACAACAUUCUUCACGAUGCCAAACAGGAUAAAUUCAGGUAUCAACAAUAAGGGAGUUGGAAAAGUCAUAUGAAUUCAGUUUUUGUGGAUGGGAUCCAUCAUGAUCAUUAAAUACAGUGGGUUCUAGUUGAUGCUAUCAUGAACCAAUGCUUGUGAUGUGUUCCAUGACAUUGUUAAGAUUUCCGUUUUGUCAGAGUUUCGAACUCCGAUCUUGGCACGCAAUUCCUUGUCUUCCUCUCCCCACCAAUUGGAGCUUUUAUUGCAUGGUGUUGGACCAUCUGUCUCUAGAGCAUAUGAGCUGUUAGAUUCAUUGGUCUUGUAGAUCUAACGGUUGAUAUGUUGUAGGGAGAAUGGUAUGAUCUUAUGAAAUAAUUUUCCCACCAAGCUGGAGGAUACCAUAUAGCUGGGGUUGGUGACAAUGGUGAUAUUUGGAUUAUAGACAUGAGCUUGUGUGAUUUUUCUCACAAUGUUAAUAUAUGUGAGUUUGAGAUUGGAGAUAGGGUAAAGUUAUUCUCUCUAGUCAGUGUUUCUUUUGGCAGCGGUGGAAGACACAUUACUUUCUUUUUGGUAACAAGUCAUCUUUAUGAGAAAAAAAGUAAAUGCAUGGUCUCUGCCCUCUGGUUUUUUCCUUUGAGUAAGUGAUAGGUGAUAGAGGCACAUAAGUUCGAUGAUCUGCUGUUUGCUCUAUCCUAUUCAACAGUAUUUUGAUUGAUUUAUUUAUCCGUCAUUGAAAGAUGAUAAAUUCACCAAGUAAUUCAGUCCUUUCCAUAAGGUAUGCGUUGCUCUCUUCCUUUUACCUGAUUUUUAAGGAUUUCGAAUUUUUUCAGUUCACAAGUAGGUGUAAUUGUACUGGUCGCUCUGGGGUCUUGCAGUUACUCUAUUUCACUGGUUCUGAGUUUUGGUUUGCUAUUCAUUGCUUAUUCUUAUAUUUUGUGCCUUCCCAGUUUCAUUUCAACGACUCUUGUAGUUAGGAAAACGCAAUCCAACAUAUCUACGAUGACUUCUCUCUCUGAAGAUUGCCGUUGACAGUUUGCAAGAAAAUAGUCGAUGGAGUGUCUAUAUGACAGCUUUGAUCCCUGAAGAUUACCGACAACGGUGCAGAAGAAAAACAUGGAAGAAGUGCCGUUUGUUUUCCAGGAUGGCAAUUGUUCAAGAACUGGCGGUUAUCACAAUGGUGCCAUGUAUUUCAAACAAAGAAUUUAGGGAACGAUUUGCCUGAGUUUGUGCAUUUGAAAAGAGUUCAAGUCUUUCUUUUAGUUCAUUUCUGUAUAUCUUUGAAGAUUGUCAUCUGCAGUACCUUUUCUCUUCCUCUCCAUGUUGAGUCCUGAAUUUCCUUGGAUUGAUGGCAAGUUUCUUGUAAUCUGUUGUCUGAUGUAUCAGUCUCUUCUCUAGUGUGCAUUGGCUGGUUUUCAAACGCAACAUUUAUCCAUUAUAUUGUUCCC
Molecule: long non-coding RNA, 5683 nt
Organism: Syzygium oleosum
Lineage: Eukaryota; Viridiplantae; Streptophyta; Magnoliopsida; Myrtales; Myrtaceae
Exons: 2
Source: RefSeq, a predicted model, not a curated record